This 383-nucleotide small RNA is filed under the name Pan troglodytes (chimpanzee). RNAcentral's name for it is "retained intron". The record is from RNAcentral. Lineage: Eukaryota; Metazoa; Chordata; Mammalia; Primates; Hominidae.
UGUGAAACCUCUUAGGUAGCAUUGUGUGUGCUGUGUGGUUUUUCUGAGGGGAUCCAUAGGAAAAUAAGGGCAGGGUUUUAAACGUUAAUGAUGGGCAAUGAGGUAAUGUAAGUUAUGGGGUUAAAUUUUUAUUUCCCUUUUUUUCUGUAGAGAAUAGUGACAGUGGUACAGGAAAGAAAGAAAAAGAAAAGAAAAACAGAAAGGGCAAAGACAAGGAAAAUGGCUCCGUAUCCAGCAGUGAGACACCACCACCACCACCACCAAAUGAAAUUAAUCCUCCUCCACAUACAAUGGAAGAAGAGGAGGAUGAUGACUGGGGAGAAGAUACAACUGAGGAAGCUCAAAGGCGUCGAAUGGAUGAAAUCAGUGACCAUGCAAAAGUC